AUAGCAAGAGUGAACCACCUGAAACCUUUCCGAACUCAGAAGUGAAGCCUCUUAGCGCCGAUGGUAGU
Molecule: ribosomal RNA, 68 nt
Filed under: uncultured gamma proteobacterium HF0770_40P16
Lineage: Bacteria; Pseudomonadati; Pseudomonadota; Gammaproteobacteria
Source: RNAcentral